Molecule: ribosomal RNA, 451 nt
Filed under: Bacillus sp. MGB4
Lineage: Bacteria; Bacillati; Bacillota; Bacilli; Caryophanales; Bacillaceae
Description: bacterial SSU rRNA
Rfam family: Bacterial small subunit ribosomal RNA
Source: RNAcentral
AUUCCAAGCUUAACGGCGAAGAACCUUACCAGGUCUUGACAUCCUCUGACAACCCUAGAGAUAGGGCUUUCCCUUCGGGGACAGAGUGACAGGUGGUGCAUGGUUGUCGUCAGCUCGUGUCGUGAGAUGUUGGGUUAAGUCCCGCAACGAGCGCAACCCUUGAUCUUAGUUGCCAGCAUUCAGUUGGGCACUCUAAGGUGACUGCCGGUGACAAACCGGAGGAAGGUGGGGAUGACGUCAAAUCAUCAUGCCCCUUAUGACCUGGGCUACACACGUGCUACAAUGGACAGAACAAAGGGCUGCGAGACCGCAAGGUUUAGCCAAUCCCACAAAUCUGUCCUCAGUUCGGAUCGCAGUCUGCAACUCGACUGCGUGAAGCUGGAAUCGCUAGUAAUCGCGGAUCAGCAUGCCGCGGUGAAUACGUUCCCGGGCCUUGUACACACCGCCCGUA